Molecule: ribosomal RNA, 497 nt
Filed under: uncultured bacterium
Lineage: Bacteria
Description: partial 16S ribosomal RNA
Rfam family: Bacterial small subunit ribosomal RNA
Source: RNAcentral
GAUGAACGCUGGCGGCGUGCCUAAUACAUGCAAGUCGAGCGAACAGACGAGGAGCUUGCUCCUCUGACGUUAGCGGCAGACGGGUGAGUAACACGUGUAUAACCUACCUAUCAGACUGGUAUAACUUCGGGAAACCGGAUCUAAUCCCGUAUAAUAUAUUGAACCGCAUGGUGCAAUAGUAAAAUACGGCUUUGCGGUCACUUAUCGAUGGAUCCGGGCCGCAUUAGCUAGUUGUUAAGGUAACGGCCUACCAAGGCAACGAUGCGUAGCCGACCGGACAGGGGGAUAGGCCACCCGGGAGGUGGACCGCGGUCCAUGGUCCUGCGGUAGGGAGCAGUCGGGAAUCGGAGGCAGUAGGGGGAAGCCUGGCGGAACGACGGGGAGUGAGAUACAGAGGUCUCCGGAUCGUAAUGCCCUGUUACUGGGUAAGAACAAAUGUGUCAGGAGCCAUGGACGUCUUGACGGUACCUGAUCAGAAAGCAACGGCUAACUACGUG